RNAcentral lists this ribosomal RNA (521 nucleotides) under uncultured bacterium. RNAcentral's name for it is "bacterial SSU rRNA". It matches the Rfam family "Bacterial small subunit ribosomal RNA", at positions 8 to 461 of the family's 1533-position model. The record is from RNAcentral.
AGAGUUUGAUCCUGGCUCAGGGUGAACGCUGGCGAUGUGCCUAAGACAUGCAAGUCGAGCGGGACUUGUUGUUUACACUAAGGAUAAAAUUUCUAAAAAUGUGUCCUGUCAAGGGGAAGGUGGUACGAAGUACCAAAGGGUUUUGUUCUUUGUGUAAAUAAUAAGUUUAGCGGCGAACGGGUGAGUAAUAAGUACGAAUAUGCCCCUUUGUGGAACAUAGUCCGCCGAAAGGCGGGGUAAUUUUCCAUAGUCUCGAAAGAGUAAAGACGCAAGUCGCAAAGGGAGUAGCGUACUCGCUACCAGCUUGUUGGUAAGGUAAAGGCUUACCAAGGCUAUGACGGCUACCGGCUCUUAGCGGAGAGUCCGGCACAAUGGGACUGAGACACGGCCCAUACUUCUACGGAAGGCAGCAGUUAGGAAUUUUGCGCAAUGGACGAAAGUCUGACGCAGCGACAUCGCGUGUGGGAUGACGGCCCUCGGGUUGUAAACCACUUUUUGGGAGCCAUGAAGGCUCCAGAAUA